AGCAAAAAAAAAUAAACAUUACUACUAACAAAAAUAAAAUAAAAUAAAAUAAAAUAAAAAUGAAGCAUUUUCCUACUGUUGCUGUCCUACUCUUCGUAGUGCUUCUUCUCUCAACAAAUGAAGAAAUAGGAGGUGGAAUUAGAAAGACGGAGGCAAAACUCUGUCAAUAUCACAGCGAAACGUUCCAUGGGGUGUGUGUGACCGGUAACAAUUGCAACCGACACUGUCAGCGAGAAAACUUUGAGGGUGGCCGCUGCCACGGCUUUCGCCAUUAUCGUUGCGUCUGCUAUAGAACUUGUUAAUUUCUUUUUAUUAUUUCGAAUGCGUUAUAAAUAAUAAUAAAUAUUGCUUGUAAUGUAAUGUUAUGAUGCUCGAUUUUCUUAGUUCCCGUUCUCGCUUUUCUUGAUCUUCCAAGCUUGAAGCUCGCCUGCUUUAUUCUAUAUGAUGUAACUACUAUAUUAUUAAUAAAUAAGUGAUUUGAACCCUUGGUUCAACACUACUAUAACGA
Solanum lycopersicum (tomato) is the source of this 508-nucleotide non-coding RNA. The record is from RefSeq and is a predicted model, not a curated record. NCBI's taxonomy places the organism in Eukaryota, Viridiplantae, Streptophyta, Magnoliopsida, Solanales, Solanaceae.